CACGUAGGGACCAAGCGUUGUCCGGAUUUAUUGGGCGUAAAGAGCUCGUAGGCGGCUUGUUGCGUCGACUGUGAAAACCCGCGGCUCAACCGUGUGGUCUGCAGUCGAUACGGGCAGGCUAGAGUUCGGUAGAGGGCGGCGGAAUUCCGGGUGUAGCGGUGAAAUGCGUAGAUAUGCGGAGGAACACCGAUGGCGAAGGCAAUCCCCUGGGCCUGCACUGACGCUCAUGCACGAAAGCGUGGGGAGCAAACAGG
RNAcentral lists this ribosomal RNA (254 nucleotides) under uncultured bacterium. RNAcentral's name for it is "partial 16S ribosomal RNA". It matches the Rfam family "Bacterial small subunit ribosomal RNA", at positions 524 to 776 of the family's 1533-position model. The record is from RNAcentral.